RNAcentral lists this ribosomal RNA (402 nucleotides) under Bacteroidota bacterium. RNAcentral's name for it is "Bacteroidetes bacterium partial 16S ribosomal RNA". It matches the Rfam family "Bacterial small subunit ribosomal RNA", at positions 355 to 776 of the family's 1533-position model. The record is from RNAcentral. Lineage: Bacteria; Pseudomonadati; Bacteroidota.
UGGGGAAUUUUGCACAAUGGGGGAAACCCUGAUGCAGCGACGCCGCGUGAUUUAGAAGGCCUUCGGGUUGUAAAAAUCUUUUCUAUGGGAAGAAAAUGACAGUACCAUAGGAAUAAGGACCGGCUAAUUACGUGCCAGCAGCCGCGGUAAUACGUAUCGAGCGAGCGUUGUCCGGAAUUAUUGGGCGUAAAGGGUACGCAGGCGGUUUAAUAAGUAGAAUGUUAAAGAUCGGGGCUCAACCCCGUAAAGCAUUGGAAACUGAUAGACUUGAGUAGUGGAGAGGAAAGUGGAAUUCCUAGUGUAGUGGUGAAAUACGUAGAUAUUAGGAGGAAUACCAGUAGCGAAGGCGACUUUCUGGACACAAACUGACGCUGCGGUACGAAAGCGUGGGGAGCAAACAGG